Molecule: ribosomal RNA, 145 nt
Filed under: bacterium
Lineage: Bacteria
Description: partial 16S ribosomal RNA
Source: RNAcentral
CUUACCGGAGGCAGCAGUCGGGAAUAAUGUGCAACGGACGAAAGUCUGACCCAGGCUUGCCGCGGGAAUAAAGAAGAUCUUCGGAUAGUAACACCCUCCCUCCGGGGAGGGCAAAGUGACGUACCGCAAGCCNACNCCCCCCUCG